RNAcentral lists this non-coding RNA (21 nucleotides) under Caenorhabditis elegans. Lineage: Eukaryota; Metazoa; Nematoda; Chromadorea; Rhabditida; Rhabditidae. The record is from RNAcentral.
UUUUAAGAAUGGUACAAUUUC